RNAcentral lists this ribosomal RNA (419 nucleotides) under uncultured bacterium. RNAcentral describes it as "bacterial SSU rRNA". It matches the Rfam family "Bacterial small subunit ribosomal RNA", at positions 28 to 440 of the family's 1533-position model. The record is from RNAcentral.
GAUUAACGCUAGCGGCAGGCCUAAUACAUGCAAGUCGAACGAGAAGGUGUAGCAAUACACUUGUACAGUGGCGAACGGGUGAGGAAUGCAUGGGCAACCUACCCUCGAGUGGGGAAUAACCAGCCGAAAGGUUGGCUAAUACCGCGUACGCUUCCGGGUCUCCGGAUCCGGAAGGAAAGUCACACCGUGGGUGUGACGCUCAAGGAUGGGCUCAUGUCCUAUCAGCUUGUUGGGAGGUAACGGCUCACCAAGGCAACGACGGGUAGCUGGUCUGAGAGGACGAUCAGCCACACUGGCACUGCGACACGGGCCAGACUCCUACGGAGGCAGCAGUAAGGAAUAUUGCGCAAUGGGCGAAAGCCUGACGCAGCGACGCCGCGUGGGGGAUGAAGGUCUUCGGAUUGUAAACCCCUUUUAGG